UCCCCUAGUAGGACGUCGCGACCCGUUGGGUGUCGGUCUACGGCCCGGGUGGUAAGCCUGUCUCGUGUUCGCUUCGCGGCGUUACGCGGUUCAGACCCCCGGAUGCCCGACCGGCUGCUCGGCGGUACGCGCACGGUAUCUGGCCGCAAAUAUUCGAACUGCGUCCGGCCCGUCGCAAGCGAGGCAAGUGUUUCCCGGCUGUACGGAUCUAAUGCCGUCACCGGGCCUUGCCAGCUGUUGGUUGACGGUGUCCUAGGACAGGCCAAUUCAAUUAUGAUACCGGUCGGCGACGCUACUGCUUUGGGUACUUUCAGGACCCGUCUUGAAACACGGACCAAGGAGUCUAACAUGUGCGCGAGUCAUUGGGUAUUAUUAAGCCUAAAGGCGCAAUGAAAGUGAAGGUCGGCCUCGCGCCGACCGAGGGAGGAUGGGCCGCGUCACGAUGCGGUCCCGCACUCCCGGGGCGUCUCGUUCUCAUUGCGAGAAGAGGCGCACCCAGAGCGUACACGUUGGGACCCGAAAGAUGGUGAACUAUGCCUGGUCAGGACGAAGUCAGGGGAAACCCUGAUGGAGGUCCGUAGCGAUUCUGACGUGCAAAUCGAUCGUCGGAACUGGGUAUA
Molecule: ribosomal RNA, 620 nt
Filed under: Schenkia sp. 2 BFS-2018
Lineage: Eukaryota; Metazoa; Arthropoda; Insecta; Hymenoptera; Ichneumonidae
Description: partial 28S large subunit ribosomal RNA
Rfam family: Eukaryotic large subunit ribosomal RNA
Source: RNAcentral